Mauremys reevesii (Reeves's turtle) is the source of this 365-nucleotide long non-coding RNA. RefSeq lists it as uncharacterized. The record is from RefSeq and is a predicted model, not a curated record. Lineage: Eukaryota; Metazoa; Chordata; Testudines; Geoemydidae. The transcript is spliced from 3 exons.
UGGAAAGCUCAUCUGGCUGUGGCAGUUUGUGCCUGAAUGAGAGAAAAGUGCCCUAGAAGCUAUUCAUUAGGAAUUCACUGGAAGCUCUCAAACAAGCCUGGCAGAAGCUGAAAUUGAAGUGGUCUCUGACCUAAUUUUCUUCUGCAUGAAACAUCUGCAUCAAGGCACUCUUUGAUGUAUUCCACUUGGCUCUGUCUACAGUAUUGUAUCACAUGGCUUCAGCAUUGCCUCAGUUUUAAAAGACAUUUCCAGCCUGUAGAAGAAAUGAAACAUCAGUCUUGGCAUAUCACAAAAGAUCAAGAUCCUUUUGGCCUGGAGGAGUAAGCGGAGUCGACGGGGGAGCUGUAGCAGUCGACUCGCCGCCG